Molecule: transfer RNA, 65 nt
Filed under: Conocephalus gladiatus
Lineage: Eukaryota; Metazoa; Arthropoda; Insecta; Orthoptera; Tettigoniidae
Description: tRNA-Leu
Source: RNAcentral
UCUAAUAUGGCAGAUAAGUGCAGUAGAUUUAAGCUCUACAAAUAAAGAUUAUUCUUUUGUUAGAA